Molecule: RNA transcript, 1498 nt
Organism: Condylura cristata (star-nosed mole)
Lineage: Eukaryota; Metazoa; Chordata; Mammalia; Eulipotyphla; Talpidae
Gene: EIF4E2
Gene name: eukaryotic translation initiation factor 4E family member 2
Exons: 8
Source: RefSeq, a predicted model, not a curated record
CUGAGGCAUGAGUUACUGGUCAGCGCUGGACUGUCCUACUGGUUGGAGGCCCGGCGUACUCAUGUCUUGGCCAAGAUUGAAAGAUGAUGACAGUGGGGACCAUGAUCAGAAUGAAGAAAACAGCACACAGAAAGAUGGUGAGAAGGAAAAAAUGGACCGAGACAAGGGUCAGGGCAGCAGCAAGAGGAAGGCUGUUGUUCCCGGGCCGGCAGAGCAUCCCUUGCAGUACAACUACACUUUCUGGUACUCCCGGAGAACCCCCGGCCGCCCCACCAGCUCCCAGAGCUACGAACAGAAUAUCAAGCAGAUCGGCACCUUCGCCUCCGUAGAGCAGUUCUGGAGGUUCUACAGCCACAUGGUGCGCCCCGGGGACCUGACGGGCCACAGCGACUUCCACCUCUUCAAAGAAGGGAUUAAGCCCAUGUGGGAGGACGACGCCAAUAAGAACGGCGGCAAGUGGAUCAUUCGGCUCCGGAAGGGCUUGGCCUCCCGGUGCUGGGAGAAUCUCAUCCUGGCCAUGCUGGGGGAGCAGUUCAUGGUUGGGGAGGAGAUCUGUGGGGCUGUGGUCUCUGUCCGCUUCCAGGAGGACAUUAUUUCAAUAUGGAACAAGACUGCCAGCGACCAAGCCACCACGGCCCGCAUCCGCGACACUCUUCGGCGAGUGCUUAACCUACCUCCCAACACCAUUAUGGAAUACAAAACCCACACCGACAGCAUCAAGUGGUUUCGAUGUGACCUAACAGGCCUGGGUGCCGGGUGGACGAGCCGCCUCCUGCGCCUGCCUUUCGUGUCGCUCUGCCUCCUCCCAGCGCCAGCCUCCGGCCGCCUUCCGUUCCCAGUGAGUGUGUGUGACGACAUUCCUUUCCCACGCACCUUCGUGUUAGGGUUUCACACGGGAAGAAGGCGCUUUUGAAGAGAGCUGGGCAGUUUAAUACUGGCGUGGACUAGCGGGGCGCGCUGAAGCCCCCCUGCUGCGGCUUCCCGCCACAGCAGCCGCUGUCUCGCUAGGGGAGGCGUCUCGGGAAACGAAGGGAUACAUGGUGAAGGACGAUGCUUCAGUGCGGCCAUGUCAUUGCUGGUUGGCACCUGUGUGACUUCAGAAUUUAAGUGUCACAGGACAAGAAAGGGCUUUCCCGGGUGGUUGCCCGAGCCCUGGAUUUUGCUUUGUCCUUGUCUGCAUUUGGAGUGAAGAGCGAAAAGGCCUUCGGACAUCGGUCACGGACUCGCCGAGGUCACCGCAUCACUGCCACCAGGAAGGGCUGUGGAACAGACACCUUACUGUGGAAAAGCAGCUUGUGAAUUGACAGACUGGCGCGCGUUGGCAGUCUCUGCUCUCCACUUCAGCUGGCAUCUGUUAGUGGCUCUGGUAAUGCUCAGAAGAAACGAUUAGCAGCAAAUCAACAUCUGAGACCAAGAGGGCCUGGGAGGAGUUUCAUGGCCUGGUGAACAGCAGCGGCCGCUGAUCGGACGCUCCCCUCUGUCUCUCACACUCAGGGUA